RNAcentral lists this non-coding RNA (105 nucleotides) under Methylobacterium platani. RNAcentral describes it as "Glycine sequence". It matches the Rfam family "Glycine riboswitch aptamer". Rfam says of the family: This family represents the bacterial glycine riboswitch. Glycine riboswitches usually consist of two metabolite-binding aptamers domains with similar structures in tandem. The aptamers cooperatively bind glycine to regulate the expression of downstream genes. Lineage: Bacteria; Pseudomonadati; Pseudomonadota; Alphaproteobacteria; Hyphomicrobiales; Methylobacteriaceae. The record is from RNAcentral.
UUGAUGGUCGCGGGAGAGACCGGCUUCGCGCCGGCACCGAAGGGGAAAGGCGUGCCAGCCGUGCUGCGCGCCGAAGCUCUCAGGUCAAAGGACCGCGAUCGAGAG